UACGUAGGGGGCUAGCGUUGUCCGGAAUCAUUGGGCGUAAAGCGCGUGUAGGCGGUUCGGUAAGUCCGCUGUGAAAGUCGGGGGCUCAACCCUCGAAUGCCGGUGGAUACUGUCGGACUAGAGUACGGAAGAGGUGAGUGGAACUCCUGGUGUAGCGGUGGAAUGCGCAGAUAUCAGGAAGAACACCAACGGCGAAGGCAGCUCGCUGGGACGGUACUGACGCUGAGACGCGAAAGCGUGGGGAGCGAACAGG
Molecule: ribosomal RNA, 253 nt
Filed under: uncultured bacterium
Lineage: Bacteria
Description: partial 16S ribosomal RNA
Rfam family: Bacterial small subunit ribosomal RNA
Source: RNAcentral